This 289-nucleotide long non-coding RNA is filed under the name Salvia miltiorrhiza (redroot sage). RNAcentral's name for it is "long non-coding RNA (SMIL_LNC013694)". Lineage: Eukaryota; Viridiplantae; Streptophyta; Magnoliopsida; Lamiales; Lamiaceae. The record is from RNAcentral.
UCUUAUGUCGUUCAUCGUUUUUCUCUUUUCUCUCAAAGUAAAACAAAAACAACCGCCCCUCUUCUUCACCUUCUUCAAGUUCGCAUCCAACUCCGCCGCCGAAGCUCCCCACCCUACUCCGACCAGACCCACCAUUGAACGCCCCAGAGUGGUCCAGUGCGGCCGGCGUAACGGACACCGUUUGCUUCGACGAUACGCAACCCAUAGCGGCCGCGCCACCCGCUCGCCUUACCAACCCAUCGGAUUCAACGGAGUGAGGAAAGCAGUAGCCUCUUUUUUCUCCUCCCAC